CAUGGUUGUCGUCAGCUCGUGUCGUGAGAUGUUGGGUUAAGUCCCGCAACGAGCGCAACCCUCGACCUUAGUUGCCAGCAUUCAGUUGGGCACUCUAAGGUGACUGCCGGCUAAAAGUACGGAGGAAGGUGGGGAUGACGUCAAAUCAUCAUGCCCCUUAUGACCUGGGCUACACACGUGCUACAAUGGGCGGUACAAAGGGUCGCGAACCCGCGAGGGGGAGCCAAUCCCAAAAAGCCGCUCUCAGUUCGGAUUGCAGGCUGCAACUCGCCUGCAUGAAGCCGGAAUCGCUAGUAAUCGCGGAUCAGCAUGCCGCGGUGAAUACAUUCCCGGGCCUU
RNAcentral lists this ribosomal RNA (338 nucleotides) under uncultured Anoxybacillus sp. RNAcentral's name for it is "bacterial SSU rRNA". It matches the Rfam family "Bacterial small subunit ribosomal RNA", at positions 1044 to 1382 of the family's 1533-position model. The record is from RNAcentral. Lineage: Bacteria; Bacillati; Bacillota; Bacilli; Caryophanales; Anoxybacillaceae.